GCCAGGGAACUACGAGCAAAGCUUAAAACCCAAAGGACUUGACGGUGCCCCACAUCCUUCUAGAGGAGCCUGUCCUGUAAUCGAUAACCCACGUUCAACCUCACCACUCUUAGCUUAUCAGCCUGUAUACUUCCGUCGUCAGCUUACCGCGUGAGCGAAUAGUAAACUCAAUGUCAGAACAUCAAUACGUCAGGUCAAAGUGCAGCACAUAGAGCGGCAAGAGAUGGGCUACACUCUCUACAUUAGAAGACACGAAAAACUACAUGAAAUUGUACUUAGAAGGGGGAUUUAGCAGUAAGAGAAUCUAGAAUAUUUUUCUUA
RNAcentral lists this ribosomal RNA (321 nucleotides) under Eleutherodactylus sp. KU291679. Its description in RNAcentral is "partial 12S ribosomal RNA". It matches the Rfam family "Bacterial small subunit ribosomal RNA", at positions 871 to 1365 of the family's 1533-position model. The record is from RNAcentral. Lineage: Eukaryota; Metazoa; Chordata; Amphibia; Anura; Eleutherodactylidae.